This 369-nucleotide ribosomal RNA is filed under the name uncultured bacterium. Its description in RNAcentral is "bacterial SSU rRNA". It matches the Rfam family "Bacterial small subunit ribosomal RNA", at positions 358 to 719 of the family's 1533-position model. The record is from RNAcentral.
GGAAUUUUGGACAAUGGGCGCAAGCCUGAUCCAGCCAUGCCGCGUGCAGGAUGAAGGCCUUCGGGUUGUAAACUGCUUUUGUACGAAACGAAAAGGUGCCUUCUAAUAAAGGGCGCUCAUGACGGUACCGUAAGAAUAAGCACCGGCUAACUACGUGCCAGCAGCCGCGGUAAUACGUAGGGUGCGAGCGUUAAUCGGAAUUACUGGGCGUAAAGCGUGCGCAGGCGGUCUUGCAAGACAGUGGUGGAAUCCCCGGGCUCAACCGGGGAACUGCCAUAGUGACUGCAAGGCUGUAGUACGGCAGAGGGGGAGUGCAUUCGGCGUGUAGCAGUGAAAUGCGUAGAUAUGCGGAGGAACACCGAUGGCGAA